GACCGCGUAGCUCAGUUGGAAGAGCAUUGGGCUGGUAUUCCAAAGGUCGUAGGUUCGAAUCCCAUCGUGGCCG
Molecule: transfer RNA, 73 nt
Filed under: Paramuricea clavata
Lineage: Eukaryota; Metazoa; Cnidaria; Anthozoa; Malacalcyonacea; Plexauridae
Rfam family: tRNA
About the family: Transfer RNA (tRNA) molecules are approximately 80 nucleotides in length. Their secondary structure includes four short double-helical elements and three loops (D, anti-codon, and T loops).
Source: Rfam by way of RNAcentral